UUACCUACGGGGCGCAGCAGUAGGGAAUCUUCGGCAAUGGACGAAAGUCUGACCGAGCAACGCCGCGUGAGUGAAGAAGGCUUUCGGAUCUUAAAACUCUUUUGGUAGAGAAGAACGUUGGUGAGCGUGGAAAGCUCAUCAAGUGACGGUAACUACCCAGAAAGGGACGGCUAACUACGUGCCAGCAGCCGCGGUAAUACGUUGGUCCCGAGCGUUGUCCGGAUUUCUUGGGCGUCAAGCGAUCGCA
Molecule: ribosomal RNA, 247 nt
Filed under: uncultured bacterium
Lineage: Bacteria
Description: partial 16S ribosomal RNA
Rfam family: Bacterial small subunit ribosomal RNA
Source: RNAcentral